RNAcentral lists this ribosomal RNA (481 nucleotides) under uncultured bacterium. Its description in RNAcentral is "bacterial SSU rRNA". It matches the Rfam family "Bacterial small subunit ribosomal RNA", at positions 1 to 499 of the family's 1533-position model. The record is from RNAcentral.
CCCUUAGAGUUUGAUCCUGGCUCAGGACGAACGCUGGCGGCGCGCCUAACACAUGCAAGUCGAACGAGCGAGAGAGAGCUUGCUUUCUCAGGCGAGUGGCGAACGGGUGAGUAACGCGUGAGGAACCUGCCUCAAAGAGGGGGACAACAGUUGGAAACGACUGCUAAUACCGCAUAAGCCCACGACCCGGCAUCGGGUAGAGGGAAAAGGAGCAAUCCGCUUUGAGAUGGCCUCGCGUCCGAUUAGCUAGUUGGUGAGGUAAUGGCCCACCAAGGCGACGAUCGGUAGCCGGACUGAGAGGUUGAACGGCCACAUUGGGACUGAGACACGGCCCAGACUCCUACGGGAGGCAGCAGUGGGGAAUAUUGCACAAUGGGGGAAACCCUGAUGCAGCGACGCCGCGUGGAGGAAGAAGGUCUUCGGAUUGUAAACUCCUGUUGUUGAGGAAGAUAAAGACGGACUCAACAAGGAAGGACGGCUA